This 253-nucleotide ribosomal RNA is filed under the name uncultured bacterium. RNAcentral's name for it is "partial 16S ribosomal RNA". It matches the Rfam family "Bacterial small subunit ribosomal RNA", at positions 524 to 776 of the family's 1533-position model. The record is from RNAcentral.
UACGUAGGGUGCAAGCGUUGUCCGGAAUUAUUGGGCGUAAAGAGCUCGUAGGCGGUUUGUUGCGUCGGCUGUGAAAUCCCGAGGCUCAACCUCGGGUCUGCAGUCGAUACGAGCAAACUAGAGUGUUGCAGGGGAGACUGGAAUUCCUGGUGUAGCGGUGAAAUGCGCAGAUAUCAGGAGGAACACCGGUGGCGAAGGCGGGUCUUUGGGCAACAACUGACGCUGAGGAGCGAAAGCGUGGGGAGCGAACAGG